This 37-nucleotide ribosomal RNA is filed under the name Dothiora sorbi. RNAcentral's name for it is "partial 18S ribosomal RNA". Lineage: Eukaryota; Fungi; Ascomycota; Dothideomycetes; Dothideales; Dothioraceae. The record is from RNAcentral.
AACAAGGUUUCGUAGGUGAACCUGCGGAAGGAUCAUU